This 1631-nucleotide ribosomal RNA is filed under the name human gut metagenome. RNAcentral describes it as "bacterial LSU rRNA". It matches the Rfam family "Bacterial large subunit ribosomal RNA", at positions 1198 to 2812 of the family's 2925-position model. The record is from RNAcentral.
AGCUGCGGCAGCGACACUAUGUGUUGUUGGGUAGGGGAGCGUUCUGUAAGCCUGCGAAGGUGACCUGUGAGGGUUGCUGGAGGUAUCAGAAGUGCGAAUGCUGACAUAAGUAACGAUAAAGCGGGUGAAAAGCCCGCUCGCCGGAAGACCAAGGGUUCCUGUCCAACGUUAAUCGGGGCAGGGUGAGUCGACCCCUAAGGCGAGGCCGAAAGGCGUAGUCGAUGGGAAACAGGUUAAUAUUCCUGUACUUGGUGUUACUGCGAAGGGGGGACGGAGAAGGCUAUGUUAGCCGGGCGACGGUUGUCCCGGUUUAAGCAUGUAGGCUGAUUGUCCAGGCAAAUCCGGAUAAUCAAGGCUGAGGUGUGAUGACGAGGCACUACGGUGCUGAAGUAACAAAUGCCCUGCUUCCAGGAAAAGCCUCUAAGCAUCAGGUAACAUCAAAUCGUACCCCAAACCGACACAGGUGGUCAGGUAGAGAAUACCAAGGCGCUUGAGAGAACUCGGGUGAAGGAACUAGGCAAAAUGGUGCCGUAACUUCGGGAGAAGGCACGCUGGUGUGUAGGUGAAGUCCCUGCGGAUGGAGCUGAGACCAGUCGAAGAUACCAGCUGGCUGCAACUGUUUAUUAAAAACACAGCACUGUGCAAACACGAAAGUGGACGUAUACGGUGUGACGCCUGCCCGGUGCCGGAAGGUUAAUUGAUGGGGUUAUCCGUAAGGAGAAGCUCUUGAUCGAAGCCCCGGUAAACGGCGGCCGUAACUAUAACGGUCCUAAGGUAGCGAAAUUCCUUGUCGGGUAAGUUCCGACCUGCACGAAUGGCGUAAUGAUGGCCAGGCUGUCUCCACCCGAGACUCAGUGAAAUUGAACUCGCUGUGAAGAUGCAGUGUACCCGCGGCAAGACGGAAAGACCCCGUGAACCUUUACUAUAGCUUGACACUGAACAUUGAGCCUUGAUGUGUAGGAUAGGUGGGAGGCUUUGAAGCGUGGACGCCAGUCUGCGUGGAGCCAACCUUGAAAUACCACCCUUUAAUGUUUGAUGUUCUAACGUUGGCCCCUUACCGGGGUUGCGGACAGUGUCUGGUGGGUAGUUUGACUGGGGCGGUCUCCUCCCAAAGCGUAACGGAGGAGCACGAAGGUUAGCUAAUCCUGGUCGGACAUCAGGAGGUUAGUGCAAUGGCAUAAGCUAGCUUGACUGCGAGCGUGACGGCGCGAGCAGGUGCGAAAGCAGGUCAUAGUGAUCCGGUGGUUCUGAAUGGAAGGGCCAUCGCUCAACGGAUAAAAGGUACUCCGGGGAUAACAGGCUGAUACCGCCCAAGAGUUCAUAUCGACGGCGGUGUUUGGCACCUCGAUGUCGGCUCAUCACAUCCUGGGGCUGAAGUAGGUCCCAAGGGUAUGGCUGUUCGCCAUUUAAAGUGGUACGCGAGCUGGGUUUAGAACGUCGUGAGACAGUUCGGUCCCUAUCUGCCGUGGGCGCUGGAGAAUUGAGGGGGGCUGCUCCUAGUACGAGAGGACCGGAGUGGACGCAUCACUGGUGUUCGGGUUGUCAUGCCAAUGGCACUGCCCGGUAGCUAAAUGCGGAAGAGAUAAGUGCUGAAAGCAUCUAAGCACGAAACUUGCCCCGAGAUGAGUUCU